RNAcentral lists this ribosomal RNA (292 nucleotides) under uncultured bacterium. Its description in RNAcentral is "partial 16S ribosomal RNA". It matches the Rfam family "Bacterial small subunit ribosomal RNA", at positions 505 to 796 of the family's 1533-position model. The record is from RNAcentral.
GUGACAGCAGCCGCGGUAAUACGAAGGGUGCAAGCGUUAGUCGGAAUUACUGGGCGUAAAGCGUGCGUAGGCGGUUUUUUAAGUCUGCCGUGAAAGCCCCGGGCUCAACCUGGGAAUGGCGGUGGAUACUGGAAAGCUGGAGUGCGGUAGAGGAGGGUGGAAUUCCCGGUGUAGCGGUGAAAUGCGUAGAGAUCGGGAGGAACAUCAGUGGCGAAGGCGGCCCUCUGGACCAGCACUGACGCUGAGGCACGAAAGCGUGGGGAGCAAACAGGAUUAGAUACCCGCGUAGUCC